GGACCGGUGACGGCGAGCGAAUCCCAAAAAGAAGCGUCCCAGUUCGGAUUGUAGUCUGCAACUCGACUACAUGAAGCCGGAAUCGCUAGUAAUCGCGGAUCAGAAUGCCGCGGUAAAUACGUUCCCGGGUCUUGUACACACCGCCCGUCACACCAUGGGAGCCGGAAAUGCCCGAAGUCAGUGACCCAACCGCGAGGAGGGAGCUGCCGAAGGCAGGUCUGGUAACUGGGGUGAAGUCGUAACAAGGUAGC
This 251-nucleotide ribosomal RNA is filed under the name uncultured bacterium. Its description in RNAcentral is "partial 16S ribosomal RNA". It matches the Rfam family "Bacterial small subunit ribosomal RNA", at positions 1251 to 1500 of the family's 1533-position model. The record is from RNAcentral.